RNAcentral lists this ribosomal RNA (164 nucleotides) under Alpinia ligulata. RNAcentral's name for it is "5.8S ribosomal RNA". It matches the Rfam family "5.8S ribosomal RNA". Rfam says of the family: 5.8S ribosomal RNA (5.8S rRNA) is a component of the large subunit of the eukaryotic ribosome. It is transcribed by RNA polymerase I as part of the 45S precursor that also contains 18S and 28S rRNA. The record is from RNAcentral. Lineage: Eukaryota; Viridiplantae; Streptophyta; Magnoliopsida; Zingiberales; Zingiberaceae.
CAAAUGACUCUCGGCAAUGGAUAUCUCGGCUCUUGCAUCGAUGAAGAACGUAGUGAAAUGCGAUACUUGGUGUGAAUUGCAGAAUCUCGUGAACCAUUGAGUCUUUGAACGCAAGUUGUGCCCGAGGCCUUCUGACCGAGGGCACGCCUGCUUGGGCGUCAUGG